AAUACUAACACAAUCCUGUGUUGAGAACUGUCAAAUCGUCAACUUUAUUUACCACUCUCCGCAAUUACGAACGACGGUGCAUGCGAGACGACGAACUGUAAUGCGAUUUAUUCACGGUUUUCGCGAGUUUUCCGGCGAUUGUUUUUGUUCAAAUCGUGUCCUCCAGGAGCAGGAUCUCGAGGUGCGCAAGGAUCAGCGAUCGGGAAUGCUUUUACCGGUCGAUAUAUCACUGAAUGUUUUGGGGGAUCAACUGAUGGAGAGAGCGUGCUAUUGGAGAAGAUAAUUUGCUGAUUUGCCGCUCCCGGUGAUCAAUCCGAGGCGAAGUAUGCUUCAUUAACGUCCGAACGAUUUUGUGACUGGCUUCGGGUUUCAGAUCACAGACGGAAAAUACUCCGAUUGACUUUCCCGACUCGUCUGCCAGCUCAUAAGAGCUCGUCCCAAUGCGAGCAAGAACGGUACAGGGAACGUAUAGAGCGUCUAAUUUAGCGUUAUACGAGUUCGCUGCGGAAGACAGACGAAAGUUCCGACGGAACACCCUCUGGCCGACUGCGUAGACCGGAGCCGAAUGUUUCGUUCUUAGGUUGUACGUGUUAAGGUUCUUUUCAUGGCAUUUUCUCAGAUUUUUUUGAAUAGUUGAAUAAAUAUGAUCGUCAAUUCUUCCCUUUCUUUCCAACCUUCCAUCCUCCGAUACUUCCUCCUCUUCCCUGUCCAUCCUGUGUUCCUCUCCGGAUACAAUUAUUUCAUGCCCGAAUAGUACUCUAUAGGGAGAAAAUCCCGUAGAGGUAUGGGGUGUACAGUUUAGACAGUGUUCAAUCUCGGAC
This is a long non-coding RNA of Armigeres subalbatus, 821 nucleotides long. RefSeq lists it as uncharacterized. Lineage: Eukaryota; Metazoa; Arthropoda; Insecta; Diptera; Culicidae. The record is from RefSeq and is a predicted model, not a curated record. The transcript is spliced from 3 exons.